UCAUCUCAAUACAACUCACUUCAAAUUUAAACCCCUUUCUUACAAACAACACUUUCUAUUUAAGCAAUUUGUUUCAGUUUAUUGCAUUUCAAACAAAUCUUUUUUUCGUUUUAUCACUCAACCUUUUUCAAAACAUUUUUUAUUCUUUUCAUAAAAGAACUGUUAUAAUUUUUUCCUUAGCAGUCAGACUAAAGCUUGGAGCAUCCGAACUAGGAUCAAUUCAACUAACGUCUACACACUUCUAGGAUACGAUUAUAACACCGUUCACUAAAAACAAC
RNAcentral lists this long non-coding RNA (278 nucleotides) under Lathyrus oleraceus (garden pea). Its description in RNAcentral is "Pisum sativum (pea) long non-coding RNA (PSAT_LNC035203)". Lineage: Eukaryota; Viridiplantae; Streptophyta; Magnoliopsida; Fabales; Fabaceae. The record is from RNAcentral.